UCCCUGGUGGUCCAGUGGCUAUGAUUCUGAGCUUCCCAUUCAGGGGACCCAGGUUCAAUCCCUGGUCAGGGAA
RNAcentral lists this transfer RNA (73 nucleotides) under Ovis aries (sheep). It matches the Rfam family "tRNA". Rfam says of the family: Transfer RNA (tRNA) molecules are approximately 80 nucleotides in length. Lineage: Eukaryota; Metazoa; Chordata; Mammalia; Artiodactyla; Bovidae. The record is from Rfam by way of RNAcentral.